RNAcentral lists this ribosomal RNA (379 nucleotides) under Katablepharidaceae sp. Its description in RNAcentral is "SSU rRNA". It matches the Rfam family "Eukaryotic small subunit ribosomal RNA", at positions 585 to 972 of the family's 1831-position model. RNAcentral also lists the same sequence under 1 other name. Lineage: Eukaryota; Cryptophyceae; Kathablepharidacea; Katablepharidaceae. The record is from RNAcentral.
CCAGCUCUAAUAGCGUAUAUUAAUGUUGUUGCAGUUAAAAAGCUCGUAGUUGGAUUUUGGUGUCUGUUAAGCUUGUUGCCUAACGGUAAUACGAGUUUGACGGCACUUCUUUUCUGAACGACUAUGCUGAUCUUAACGGGUGGGCAUAGGAGUCAGAUCGUUUACUUUGAAAAAAUUAGAGUGUUCAAAGCAGGCCAACGCAUUGAAUACAUUAGCAUGGAAUAAUGGAAUAGGACUUUGGUCAUAUUUUGUUGGUUCGAAGACCGAGGUAAUGAUUAAUAGGGAUAGUUGGGGGCGUUUAUAUUCCGUUGUCAGAGGUGAAAUUCUUGGAUUUACGGAAGAUAAACUACUGCGAAAGCAUUCGCCAAGGAUGUUUUCA